CACCAAAAGUCCAUGGAUAGUAGUUUCAAAGUUUUAUUGUAUCCAAAAUGUCUUGUUGCUGGAAAGUCAUGAUGAGCUUGAAAAACAUAUAAUCGAGCUUCACCUUCUGGAAUAUAUAGGCGUCCCUAAAAAUAUAGUAGAUUGUUCUUGAAUUCAAACUUGGAAGUAUCAUGAGAUUUUGAAGGAUUUCCCUUAAUAUCAAAUAAG
This 207-nucleotide long non-coding RNA is filed under the name Physcomitrium patens. RNAcentral describes it as "long non-coding RNA (PPAT_LNC014028)". Lineage: Eukaryota; Viridiplantae; Streptophyta; Bryopsida; Funariales; Funariaceae. The record is from RNAcentral.